GAUGAAGAACGUAGCGAAAUGCGAUAAGUAAUGUGAAUUGCAGAAUUCAGUGAAUCAUCGAAUCUUUGAACGCACAUUGCGCCCCCUGGUAUUCCGGGGGGCAUGCCUGUCCGAGCGUCAUUACAACCCUCAAGCUCAGCUUGGUAUUGGGCCCCGCCGACCCGGCGGGCCCUAAAGUCAGUGGCGGUGCCGUCCGGCUCCGAGCGUAGUAAUUCUUCUCGCUCUGGAGGUCCGGACGUGUGCUCGCCAGCAACCCCCAAUUUUUUUCAGGUUGACCUCGGAUCAGGUAGGGAUACCCGCUGAACUUAAGCAUAUCAAUAAGCGGAGGA
RNAcentral lists this unclassified non-coding RNA (329 nucleotides) under soil metagenome. RNAcentral's name for it is "partial contains 5.8S ribosomal RNA, internal transcribed spacer 2, and large subunit ribosomal RNA". The stretch from base 1 to 120 matches the Rfam family "5.8S ribosomal RNA", at positions 35 to 154 of the family's 154-position model. The record is from RNAcentral.